RNAcentral lists this ribosomal RNA (223 nucleotides) under uncultured bacterium. RNAcentral's name for it is "partial 16S ribosomal RNA". It matches the Rfam family "Bacterial small subunit ribosomal RNA", at positions 15 to 219 of the family's 1533-position model. The record is from RNAcentral.
GAUCAUGGCUCAGGAUGAACGCUGGCGGCGUGCCUAACACAUGCAAGUCGAGCGAAGCACUUUGCUUAGAUUCUUCGGAUGAAGAGGAUUGUGACUGAGCGGCGGACGGGUGAGUAACGCGUGGGUAACCUGCCUCAUACAGGGGGAUAACAGUUAGAAAUGACUGCUAAUACCGCAUAAGACCACAGCACCGCAUGGUGCGGGGGUAAAAACUCGUGGUGGU